This 498-nucleotide ribosomal RNA is filed under the name uncultured bacterium. RNAcentral describes it as "partial 16S ribosomal RNA". It matches the Rfam family "Bacterial small subunit ribosomal RNA", at positions 29 to 507 of the family's 1533-position model. The record is from RNAcentral.
ACGAACGCUGGCGGCGUGCCUAAUACAUGCAAGUCGAGCGAAGUUUUUCUGGUGCUUGCACCGGAAAAACUUAGCGGCGACCGGGUGAGUAACACGUAAAGAACCUGCCUCAUAGACUGGGACAACUAUUGGAAACGAUAGCUAAUACCGGAUAACAGCAUUAACUGCAUGGUUGAUGUUUAAAAGUUGGUUUUGCUAACACUAUGAGAUGGCUUUGCGUUGCAUUAGCUAGUUGGUGGGGUAAAGGCCUACCAAGGCGACGAUGCAUAGCCGACCUGAGAGGGUGAUCGGCCACACUGGGACUGAGACACGGCCCAGACUCCUACGGGAGGCAGCAGUAGGGAAUCUUCCGCAAUGGGCGAAAGCCUGACGGAGCAACGCCGCGUGAGUGAAGAAGGAUUUCGGUUCGUAAAGCUCUGUUGUUAGGGAAGAAUGAUUGUGUAGUAACUAUACACAGUAGAGACGGUACCUAACCAGAAAGCCACGGCUAACUACGUG